This 324-nucleotide ribosomal RNA is filed under the name Euglypha sp. (in: cercozoans). Its description in RNAcentral is "SSU rRNA". The stretch from base 109 to 324 matches the Rfam family "Eukaryotic small subunit ribosomal RNA", at positions 738 to 955 of the family's 1831-position model. The record is from RNAcentral. RNAcentral also lists the same sequence under 1 other name. Lineage: Eukaryota; Cercozoa; Imbricatea; Euglyphida; Euglyphidae.
GAUUUCUGACUGACCGUCCUGGCCCGCUUCUUUUACGGGAGUGAGUGCCGGUACGAGUUUGUCAUCCUUCUAGAAAGCCGCGCCUACCGUUCAUUCGUGCGGGCGUGUGCGGUCUAGAUCUUUUACUUUGAAAAAAUUAGAGUGUUUAAAGCAGGCUUACGCUAUGAAUACAUUAGCAUGGAAUAAUAAUAUAGGACUUUGAUUCUAUUUUGUUGGUUUCUAGGAUUGAAGUAAUGAUUGAUAGGGAUAGUUGGGGGUGCUAGUAUUCCGCGGCCAGAGGUGAAAUUCUUGGAUUCGCGGAAGACUAACUACUGCGAAAGCAUU